Molecule: ribosomal RNA, 480 nt
Filed under: uncultured bacterium
Lineage: Bacteria
Description: SSU rRNA
Rfam family: Bacterial small subunit ribosomal RNA
Source: RNAcentral
AGGACGAACGCUGGCGGCGUGCUUAACACAUGCAAGUCGAGCGGUGAUCCUCCUUCGGGAGGUGAUCAGCGGCGAACGGGUGAGUAACACGUGGGCAACCUGCCCCUCACACUGGGAUAACCUCGGGAAACCGGGGCUAAUACCGGAUACGACCUCGAGCGGCAUCUCUUGAGGUGGAAAGCUCCGACGGUGAGGGAUGGGCCCGCGGCCUAUCAGCUUGUUGGUGGGGUAAUGGCCUACCAAGGCGACGACGGGUAGCCGGCCUGAGAGGGCGACCGGCCACACUGGGACUGAGACACGGCCCAGACUCCUACGGGAGGCAGCAGUGGGGAAUAUUGCGCAAUGGGCGAAAGCCUGACGCAGCGACGCCGCGUGAGGGAUGAAGGCCUUCGGGUUGUAAACCUCUUCAGCAGGGACGAAGCGAAAGUGACGGUACCUGCAGAAGAGCACCGGCUAACUACGCGCCAGCAGCCGCGGUAA